RNAcentral lists this ribosomal RNA (768 nucleotides) under Triticum aestivum (bread wheat). Its description in RNAcentral is "partial small subunit ribosomal RNA". Lineage: Eukaryota; Viridiplantae; Streptophyta; Magnoliopsida; Poales; Poaceae. The record is from RNAcentral.
AUGCUUCUCCCCUCUUCUUCGUCUUCCUCGUACGAUCCCAAAGGUGACUCCUUUGGGAAAUCGGUUGACGAUCAUAUGAGGUCAACCUUGACUUUUGGUGAUAAGCAUUCUGUAUAUGCAAGUCAAAACACUGACUAUGGCCACCCAAUGGCUUGCAUUUCAUACCCGUUCAACGAUUCUGGUUCUGGAGUUUGGGCGGCCUAUGGGUCACGGGCUAUGUUCCAGCCCCUCAUGCCGGGAGGAGGGGCAUCUGCAACGGCAAGAGUUCCAUUGCCCGUCGAAUUAGCAGCGGAUGAGCCCAUAUUUGUCAAUCCCAAACAAUAUAACGGGAUUCUCCGGCGAAGGCAGCUGCGCGCUAAGUUAGAGGCCCAGAAUAAACUCACCAAAAACAGAAAGCCCUACCUCCACGAGUCUCGCCAUCUUCACGCGAUGAAGCGGGCAAGAGGUUCCGGGGGACGUUUCCUCAAUUCCAAACAGCUGAAGCAGCAGCAGCAGCAGUCUGGCAGUGCAUGCACGAAGGCCAUUGCGGAUGGCGCGAAUUCCCUGGGUUCAACCCAUCUACGGCUAGGCAGCGGCGCAGCCGGAGACCGAACCAACUCGGCGUCCAAGGCGAUGUCCUCCCAAGAGAACAGCAAGAGGGUCGCUGCCCCGGCUCCCGCCUUCACCAUGAUUCAAGCGGCGCGCAAAGACGACGACUUCUUCCACCAUCACGCUCACCAUCUCAGCUUCUCCGGCCACUUCGGCCAGUCCAGCGACCGGUAUACGUAA